UGGGAACGUGCCCAAAGGUACGGAACAACUCCGGGAAACUGGAGCUAAUACCGUAUGUGCCCGAGAGGGGAAAGAUUUAUCGCCUUUGGAUCGGCCCGCGUCUGAUUAGCUAGUUGGUAGGGUAACGGCCCACCAAGGCGACGACGGGUAGCCGGCCUGAGAGGGCGACCGGCCACACUGGGACUGAGAUACGGCCCAGACUCCUACGGGAGGCAG
RNAcentral lists this ribosomal RNA (216 nucleotides) under uncultured bacterium. RNAcentral describes it as "partial 16S ribosomal RNA". It matches the Rfam family "Bacterial small subunit ribosomal RNA", at positions 118 to 351 of the family's 1533-position model. The record is from RNAcentral.